This 6852-nucleotide unclassified non-coding RNA is filed under the name Limulus polyphemus (Atlantic horseshoe crab). RNAcentral describes it as "peroxisomal N(1)-acetyl-spermine/spermidine oxidase- like, transcript variant X1". Lineage: Eukaryota; Metazoa; Arthropoda; Merostomata; Xiphosura; Limulidae. The record is from RNAcentral.
AAUGGAAGGUGCAAUAUCAACAAACUGUAAUAGUAAUAAGGUUGAAAUGAAUAAUUGUUUUAACGUAAUUAUUAUUGGCGCAGGAAUGGCAGGAAUAUCUGCAGCUAGUCACUUGAUAAAACAUGGUGAAACUAAUAUAAAAUUACUGGAAGCAAGAAAUAGAAUCGGAGGUCGCAUAAUAUCAAUUCCAAUGGGGAAUACACAUGUUGAAUUGGGUGCCAAGUGGAUACAUGGAAUCAUGGGAAACCCAAUUUAUGAAUUAGCCAUUAUGAAUAAGUUGAUUCAGUUGACAAAUGACCAACACCCACAUACAGUAGUAGCAACAACAGAAGAGGGGAAACGAGUGCCUAUUGCAGUAGUGGAAGAAGUGUACAGUGCCUACUUUUGGUUUAGCAAACGGUGUGAAGAAUAUUUUCUACUUCGAAUUCACCCUCCCUCAGAAGUAUCCAACAGUGUUGGUAAACAUUUGGAAAUGGACAUCAAAGCUUUCCUUGACCAAUAUGAAGGUGAAGAUUGUCGAAUUAGACGCAUGGUCUUUAAUCAUUUGCUCAGCAGAGAAACUUGCAUCACAGGUUGUCACAGCAUGGAUGAGACAGGACUAAAUGACUUUGGAAGUUACACUGAGCUUCCUGGGGGAAAUGUGAGCUUGCCCAAAAGCUAUUUUUCUCUUUUAGAAUGUCUAACUAAAGAUCUUCCUAAGGAUUCUAUUUUGAAAGGACUUCCUGUAAAGUGUAUUAGAUGGGGUCCCAACCACAAAUCAGAAGCACUUAAUUGCUUAUUGGACCAAAAGUCAUCAGAAUGUAAUAAUCCUGCAUCAAAUAUCCAGGAAGUCUUUAAAAUUGAAGUUGAAGCUGUUAAUGGGCAAAAGUUUUAUUCAAAGCAUGUGAUUGUGACACUUCCUCUUGGUGUGCUAAAAGCAACUGCGGAAGACAUUUUUGACCCGCCUCUACCAGAUUACAAAAGAGAAGCCAUUAAAAACCUUUGUUUUGGAGUUGUAGAUAAAAUCUAUUUAGAGUACGAGCAACCUUUCUUAAAUCCAGAAAUUGCUGAGGUGAUAACUUUGUGGGAUGAGACAACGGAACAAGAUAUUAGCAAAACGUGGUACAGAAAAAUCUAUUCUUUCAGUAAAAUUACAGAAACAGUACUUUUAGCAUGGGUGUCUGGCAAAGAAGCAGAAUAUUUAGAGACAUUAUCAAGUGAUCAAGUUGGAGAAGCAUGCACCAUGAUUUUGAGGAAAUUUCUGAAUGAUACCUAUAUACCUAAACCUAUUAGAGUUGUCUGCACCUCAUGGAAAAAUCAACCUUAUACAUGUGGUUCAUACACAUCUAUUGGUGUAAAUAGUACACAGCGAGAUAUAGAACUACUAGGAACUCCUUUGUAUUCUGAUCCUGAUUAUGCUAAGCCUGCUCUAUUAUUUGCUGGAGAAGCCACUCAUCCGAGUUUUUACUCAACUGUGCAUGGAGCCUACUUGUCGGGUCGUCAAGCUGCAGAGUACCUGGUUGAGACGAAGCAAACCAAUUCUCUUCCAGCAUGGUCAAUAGAUCGACCCAGAUGUAGUGUAGGAGACCUGUCAUCUUGGUUGAAAGGAAUUGAUUUAACUUAACUUCCUGUAAAAACCUUAAUGUAAAAAAUUUAUUUGUCCUUACUGUCAGCAAGGAUGUAUUGGGUCUACCAAAAGAAAAUUACUGACUCAGUUUGAAAGAACAUGUUAACAUGAGAUCACCCACAAAAUACUGGUACCAACUUACUGGUAGGAUAUCACUGCAAGUUUACAAUAUGAAGUUCUGCUUAGGCAAUCCGGUAAUAGGAAAAUAAUAUAUGGUAUAUAUAUAUUUCUGACAUAAUUACUACAUUAAUUAACAUUAAUUUUACCUUUAUUUGUUCACCAUAAAAUUAAUUCAUUAAUUUCCAAACCCAUUAAUGAUACAUGCUAACACAUAUGAACUCAUUUUAUUUUUUGUCAUUAACCUAUGGCAUAACUUAAUUAAAGUUACCCUUCCUUCGCUAUAUCCCUUUUCAGUACACUAAAUUGAGUUAUUUAGGUUUGCACAUGUAUGAUAAAAGAUUUGAAUUAAUACACAGAUUAACUUUUCUUUAUACUGAUUCUUUUUCCAAGCUUUUCAUAUUUAAAAUGGUUUAAGACUUCAAAUAGUCUGUGUCCACAUCAAGCAAGUUUAACUGCUUACAAAUAAACAUGGAAGUGGACUAAAGAAACAAGGACAUUAGCUAAAGUUUGUGUAAAAUGGUGAUUGCUGUGAGAUCUUUUUUUUUCUUUGUUUAAAUACAGAACUUUUUAAAUGUGUAGUUUUAUACGUUGAGGUGGCAGUAGAUUUAUAAAAGUAUUUAAAACUGCAAAUGAUAGGUUGUGAAAAUUUGGAGAUCAGUUUAGAAACUAAGUAAGAUCUGAAAACUAAAGAACAAAUAUGAAGUGACUUCUGUGUUUAUAAAUAUUUUUAUUUAAUGUUUAUUCAAACAUUCUCUAAAAAAGCUUUCAAACAAUUUGAUUGUAACUUAAUAAAGGUGAAACUGUGAUUUUAGUUCUUUUGUCAAAGAUUGCUUUUUAUUGCACUGUCACGUUUACUCUAAUAUUGAUUGUUUAUAUUUAUAAGUAAGCUGACAUGGAAAUUCCUGACUGCUGAAUCUGUAAUCAGCUUUUUGUAAAUUGUAUAUUCAUAAUAUUAAUAUUUUGAGAUUAUUUCUUACUUGUAAAAUUGAAAAACAAAGAAGGCAGCCUGUUAAAGUAUUGUAUAUAUUUAACAUAUUGUGUAGGAAGUUUCAAUAAUCUUUUUUUGUUCCUUUUCUCAAACUGCACAGCUGUAUUUUACAUAUUCUGUGAAUGAACAGGAAGAAUUGGAAAAUAGCCUUAAUUUGAUUAUUUUUCCUAACUUAAGCAUCAAAGUAAUGAUAUUUUGAAAUUUAUUUUUUCAUACUUUAUGGUUUUCUCAUGCUAGGUAUAUAAAACAGCAAUGACAAAAUAACUUGUAUUAUCUUCAAAUUGCAAGUAUAGUAAAUAUUUAACUCUCAGAAAUUUGUAAUAUAACUUGUGUGCUUUAAGAAACACAAGUGGAAAACAUAAUCACAAAGUUACAUCAAAAAAGAGCACAAUAUAUUUUAAAAUUAUUGCAAAAGUCACGUUCUUAAAAGAAUUGCAUUUCUAAGUAGGAAAAAUCAAGCUUAAUCAUUGAUAAAAAAAAUAAAUGAAUGAUUUAAAUAGGUAGAAUUUUUUAUAUCAUUACCACAAGAAGAAUGGAAGAAGGUAGAUGUUUAGAGAAAGAUUUAAACUAAUAGCCCUCAACCACAUUUAUUUUUGCCUGUACCUAACAAGUUUCAAAACUAGCUACAUGCUUAGUGUCCUGAACUUACUGUUUUCAUUUCUUUAUGUCAUUUUUAUUCUGUUUAGUUUUUUAUAAUUCUAUUUAUCUAUCAUACUUACUGUUAUGUUUUAGAUAUUUGUUAUUUAGAAUAAGUAUUAAGAUAUCUUUCAUGUCUUUUAAUAUUUACUUCUUUGUAACUAUUAAACCAAUACACUUAAGUGUCAGCUACUAAAGCUUUUACUAUCUUCAGGAAGGUUUAAGAUUAGAAAGCAAGGAAUUUGCUUUUGUAAUUUCCACAUCUCUACAUAUCAUCUUGUGUGAUUAUCUACUGUUGCUACAUUUUAAUUGAUUUCAAGGUACUUUGCCAUGUUUUGCUGACUUUUAUAUGAUGAAAUUUCUCAAAUAUUUGUCUAGAAAAAAAGGUAAAAAAGCUCUUUUAAUUGUCAGAUCUUUCAUGUUCCACUUUAUUCCCAUACUAUUCCAAGCUGGUGUUAAAUGGUCAGUAUUGCAGUAUCAGGGUAAUGGUCAUGACUGAGGGUUAAGGAUGUUUAUUUUUACUGUUAUCACAAUAUUAUAUUGUUUACAAGUGUUUUUAUAUUCUUUAAUCAAACAAAAGUAAAAGUUGAUAAUUUUUGUUUGUUUGCUGCUCAUUUGUGUUUAAUCUACUUCAUUCUUUAUUACUGUGUGUGGGUCCUCACCUUUGACCCCAUGUUAUAGAUUUCUGUAUGUCAUUAGGGGACCUCCCAGGGAAGGUUCUGAUGGUGCAGCUACUUUCUCUAGAAUCCUAACAUCCACCCACAUGUUUACCAUGCAUAACAACCUGUGCAAGGGAGAUACUGGUGUUUGAGUGGUAACUGGGUCAAUCCAACACACCACUUUGGCCUUGAAUACCUGUAGCUGGGUGACUCUGCAGUGAUCCUCCCCUCCCCAAAGUCAGUUGGCUAGUCAAUUGUGGGUAAGGUCAGCUUAAGUUCCAGUAUCAAACAUCCUUAGUAGCUGUUGUGACCAAAUAGUUCUGGUAAUGUUUUGUUGGGUAAAGUGCUCACAAAACCUUGGUGUUGCUGUUCUGUUCUUAAGAUGUUGAGAGUUUCAUAGUGUAGCAUGUCCACUUGUAGGACUCCUUGAUAGGUGGGAUCAGUGAGCACUGAAUUUUUCUUUCUCCUUAUGGAUUUAUCAAUAAACAAGAUACAAAUCACCAAAAGCAACCACGCGUAGAUUGACUCUGUAAGCACAUAAUUACCAUCAUCUACUUAAUCCCGUGCAUCAGUCUGUGAUUUUAAAUUUCUUAUCAGAAACUACACUUUCUAAAAUAUUUCCUGUUUUUCAUACAAAAAGACUUAAAGUGUCUUGAUCCCGAAAUAAAAACUAAGAACUGGGUACCUACUUAUCGAAACAUCACAAGCACAAGACAGUGAACUCAUGGGCAAAUAAUUAUUGAGGUAACCCCCACAAUACUUUGAAUUCAUCAAGAGAAGUUGUUGUUAACACAUUGGCUGCCACAUAAUAAAAUAAGUAUAAAUAAAAUUAAACCAUCAAAAGGUGCCAAGGAGCAGUCAUAGUGUCCCAAACUAUAUGCUUUUAAACAUAAUUGUCUGUGACCCAUUGGUGGGACACAUGGCAGCCAACGUGUUAAGAGAGGUCUCUUUAACAUCCUUCAAUUGGAUAUUUUUGCUAAACUGUGUAAUUAGGGCAUAUCAAUUACCUAGUAAAUCUCCUUUCAGAAAAAUUUUGUAUAUGAACCAACUAAUGUUCUCAUUUUAGUGAUUACAUCUACACAUCUACAUGCCAAUGUAAAGACAGGUUAUAUUUCAAAUCUUCUCAGAUGUUUUCACGUUAAACACUUCAAAACCUCUUGCCAUAGCUCUAUAGUUAGUGCUUAUUGCAGUUUUAAAUACCAUGAUAGUUAUAAAUGACAAUUAAACCAACAUUACUUCAGUCCUGUGUUUCCUAUCCUUGAUACUUGAGAUCACUCUCAAUGGAUUGGGGUACAGAUGAUAAAGAAUUUUUCAAUAACAUACAUUAUCCUAAGACAAGAAAAAUAUCUACUAUUAAUAACAAAUAAUUGUUAAUAAGGGGAAGCCACAAAGAAGCUUUCCAUCUAGAUCUCCACAACAGUGUAAGUGAAAAUAGCUACAGUGACACAGCCAAACUUUCAAGGUUUUUGCACUAAUAUGGAUAUCAUCAAAGCAUUGAUUGAUCCUUACCAUCUUGUAUGCAUCUCUUUACAGGAGACAUUUCAAAAAAUCAGCCAAUUCUAUCACCACUGGCAGUUUUCCGUAAUGUACAAUAACAAAUUGGGUUACAGCCAUAUUCCUGGAGAGAGGUGGGUAACAUGGUUUGUCAGCCAACUUACUCCAUUGCUUAUUCCACUCACUAUGCUACCAGAAGCUGUAGCCAUCCAUGUCUGUAUUGGUCAGACCAUUACACUAUUUUCUUUAUAUCAGUUGCCUAGAGAAGAAUUUGAUUAGGCAGUUGCCAUCUUCCUUUGCCAUACUUGGAAACUUUAGUGGAUAUAGUCCACUUUGAGGCAGUAGAAAUAUUGAUGGAAGUAGUAUGUCUUUGGAGGCCUUACUCUUAGAUCAUAGCCCCUUUUUUUUUCAAUACCCAAGAUUACACUAUUUCCAUGCCAUAAGUCCAACAUAUACUGUCAUUGAUCUUCCAAUCUGUUCACUUUGUCUCUUUUUAUUUUUUUUGGAAGACAGCCAAUGAUCUAUAUGGAAGUGAUGAUUUCUCCAUUGUCCUGAGUGUGUGGACACAAUCUAUGUCUUCUGACUCUAGUGUCACGGUGGAAGUUGGAGAACGCCAACAUAACCCUCCUGUACCAUAACAGAUAAAUAAACUUUUAGCCUGGGUCUAAGUAAGGAAAUUCGUUCUACAUACAAAAGAGAAGGGAUGUUAUAGUUGUAGAUUACUGUUGGUUAUAGACUCUCACAUGAUCCUCUUUUAAAUUAGAUUCUGUUAGUCUCAGUUCUUGUAUUCCACCUGAUGAUGCUACGUAAACCCGGUGAAACAUAGUGUGUAAAAUAAACUUGGGGGAAUUUUAAAAACAUACUUCUUUCUAAUAUUUAAUUAGAGUCUAGAUACGUCUUGCUGUUCAUCAGGUUUCCUGUAUACACCUUUGGUAAGCAUCAUUCCUUUUCUUCUGAUCAUUUCAUUGAUAAAUUUUGUAUUUCUUAAUCAUUAAUUGUGUAGUUGAGAAUGUGUGGUAUCUUCAAGUAAAAACUGAUUUCCUGACAAGUAUCAAAUAAGCAGACCAGCUAAUAACAGCAGUUUUGCUAGGAAAUAAAGAGUGUAAUUAUGAAUCUUAUACUUUGACUGACUGAAUGUUCUUAGUGUGUGUGUGAAAUAAUAACACUGCAAAAAGCUGGUAUAAAAUAGAAAAAUCUUUAUUAUUAAACAAAAAGAAAAUGCAGCAUACAUACUGGAGUGUAAGCAAAAUCACAGUUGCUUGUACUGAUGUGUGUCACAGCUUUCUAUCAUGUGAGACUUUUAUCAAACUAAACACAAUGACCUUAAAACUACAUCUCUACUAAUCAAU